Molecule: non-coding RNA, 2171 nt
Organism: Mus caroli (Ryukyu mouse)
Lineage: Eukaryota; Metazoa; Chordata; Mammalia; Rodentia; Muridae
Source: RefSeq, a predicted model, not a curated record
AUGCCACCUGCUGACAAAAAUCUAGACAUUACUGCUGAUGCCAAUAAGCGCUUACCGACAGGAAGCUGGUUCGCUCUGCAUCUGGGCAGUAAGAAUGUGAGUGGGGAAAAUAAUGAUACUGUCCUUUACAAAGUUAGCCUCUCACUGAAGGGAAGUGACAUGCUGCAUUGCAUCCAUCAGUGGGGAAGCACACCGAUUGUAGCUUAUUUACAAGCAAUGUACCUCCUAUUGGAUGGUGACCUAGAAACCCUAUAGCCUGGAGAUGACGUCGAACUCAUAAUCAAGUACAGAAAUGGUAAAGAAGUUGCAACAGAUAUCAGACUAUUGCCUCAAGGAACAGUCAUUUUUGAAGAUAUCAGCAUUGAACAUUUUGAAGGAGCUAUAACCAAAGUUAUCCCAAAAGUACCCAGUAAAAACCAGAAUGACCUAGUGCCAGGAUGAAUCAAAGUUGACUUUGUGAUUCCUAAAGAACUUCCCUUUGGAGACAAAGACACAAAAUCCAAAGUGACCCUGCUGGAAGGUGACCAUGUUAGGUUUAAUAUUUCAACAGACCGAGGUGACAAAUUAGAUUGAGCAAUCAACAUAAAGUUUCUAUCAAAUACAUUUCAGUUCACUAAUGAAGCCAGUGAGAUGGGUGUGAUUGCUGCCAUGAGAGAUGGUUUUAGUUUCAUUAAGUGUGUGGAUCGUGAUGCUGGUAUGUCCUUCCACUUCAGUGACAUUCUAGAUGGGAACCAGCUCCACACUGCAGAUGAAUUAGAGUUCACUGUGGUUCCUGAUAUGCUCUCUGCCCAAAGAAAUCAUGCUAUUAGAAUUAAAAAACUUCCCAAGGGCACGGUUCUAGCCCCUUCCCAUUCAGAUUGUCGUUUUCUGGGCACCGUAAAAAAAGAAGCCACUUUUUCCAAUCCUAAAACUACAAGCCCAAAUAAAGACAAAGACAAGGAGGCAGAAGAUGGCAUUAUAGCUUAUGACAACUGUGGGGUGAAACUGACGAUUGCUUUUCAAGCCAAGGAUGUAGAAGGAUCUACUUCUCCUCAAAUAGGAAGAUAAGGUUGAAUUUAGGAUUAGUGACAAACAGAGGCCUGAACAGCAGAUUGCAACUUGCGAGAACUUUUAGGUCAUAAUUCUAACUCCAAAAGGCUCUUGGGUUAUGUGGCAACUCUGAAAGUUAAUUUUGGAUUUAUUGAAACAGCUAAUCAUGAUAAGGAAAUAUUUUUCCACUAUAGUGAGUUCUCUGGUGAUGUUGAUAGUCUGGAACUGGGACACAUGGUUGAAUAUAGCUUUUCUAAAGCCAAAGGCAAUAAAGUCUGUGCUGAGAAAGUAAACAAAACUCACUGAAUGAAUGGCAUUACUAAGGAAGCUAAUCCCACCAUCUACUCUGGUAAAGUCAUUCGCCCUCUGAGAGGUGUUGAUUCAACACAGAUUGAGUACCAAGGAAUGAUUGAGAUUGUGGAGGAGGGGGAUAUGAAAGGUGAAGUGUAUCCUUUUGGCAUAGUUGGGAUGCCCAACAAAGAGGAUUGCCUACAGAAAGGGGAGAGUGUCAAGUUCCAGUUGUGUGUACUUGGCCCAAAUGCACAAGCUAUGGCCUACAACAUCACACCCCUUCGUAGGGCUACUGUGGAGUGUGUGAAAGAUCAGUUUGGAUUUAUUAACUAUGAAAUAGGAGAUAGCAAGAAGCUCUUUUUCCAUGUGAAAGGAGUUCAGGAUGGCAUUGAGCUACAGGCAGGAGAUGAGGUGGAAUUCUUAGUGAUCCUUAAUCGGCACACUGGGAAGUGCAAUGCCUGUAAUGUUUGGCGAGUCUGUGAAGGCCCCAAGGCUGUUGCAGCUCCUCGACCUGACCGGUUGGUCAAUCCUUUAAAGAGCAUCACCCUGGAUGAUGCCAGUGCUCCACUUCUAAUGGUUCUUUGUCAGCCAAGGGGACCAGAUAACUCAAUGGGAUUUGGUGCAGAAAGAAAGAUCCAUCAAGCUGGUGUCAUUGACUAACCACAUCCACAAAGCACAUCAUUAAUCCACUAUAGUCAAGUUGGGGGGAUUCUGAUGAAGGGUUCUGAAUAACUUCCCCUUCAUUCCUCACAAAAUCUGGAAUACUUAUUCUAUUGAGCUAUUACACCAGUUUUAACACCAUCCUCAUGUUAUGUUUAAAGAAAAAUAAAUAAAUAAAUUUAAGAAACCAU